AUUGAACGCUGGCGGCAGGCUUAACACAUGCAAGUCGAGCGGGGUGAUGGUGCUUGCACUAUCACUUAGCGGCGGACGGGUGAGUAAUGCUUAGGAAUCUGCCUAUUAGUGGGGGACAACAUCUCGAAAGGGAUGCUAAUACCGCAUACGUCCUACGGGAGAAAGCAGGGGAUCACUUGUGACCUUGCGCUAAUAGAUGAGCCUAAGUCGGAUUAGCUAGUUGGUGGGGUAAAGGCCUACCAAGGCGACGAUCUGUAGCGGGUCUGAGAGGAUGCACCGCCACACUGGGACUGAGACACGGCCCAGGCUCCUACGGCAGGCAGAAGUAGGGAAUAUUGGACAAUGGGGGGAACCCUGAUCCAGCCAUGUCGCGUGUGUGCAGAAGGCCUUAUGGUUGUAAAGCACUUUAAGCGAGGAGGAGGCUCUUUUGGUUAAUACCCAAGAUGAGUGGACGUUACUCGCAGAAUAAGCACCGGCUAACUCUGUGCCAGCCGCCGCGGUAA
This 503-nucleotide ribosomal RNA is filed under the name uncultured bacterium. RNAcentral's name for it is "partial 16S ribosomal RNA". It matches the Rfam family "Bacterial small subunit ribosomal RNA", at positions 30 to 523 of the family's 1533-position model. The record is from RNAcentral.